RNAcentral lists this ribosomal RNA (253 nucleotides) under uncultured bacterium. RNAcentral's name for it is "partial 16S ribosomal RNA". It matches the Rfam family "Bacterial small subunit ribosomal RNA", at positions 524 to 776 of the family's 1533-position model. The record is from RNAcentral.
UACGGGGGGGGCAAGCGUUGUUCGGAAUUACUGGGCGUAAAGGGCUCGUAGGCGGCCAACUAAGUCAGACGUGAAAUCCCUCGGCUUAACCGGGGAACUGCAUCUGAUACUGGAUGGCUUGAGUUUGGGAGAGGGAUGCGGAAUUCCAGGUGUAGCGGUGAAAUGCGUAGAUAUCUGGAGGAACACCGGUGGCGAAGGCGGCAUCCUGGACCAACACUGACGCUGAGGCGCGAAAGCUAGGGGAGCAAACAGG